Molecule: ribosomal RNA, 468 nt
Filed under: uncultured bacterium
Lineage: Bacteria
Description: partial 16S ribosomal RNA
Rfam family: Bacterial small subunit ribosomal RNA
Source: RNAcentral
GACGAACGCUGGCGGCGUGCUUAACACAUGCAAGUCGAACGGAAAGGCCCUGCUUUUGUGGGGUGCUCGAGUGGCGAACGGGUGAGUAACACGUGAGUAACCUGCCCUUGACUUUGGGAUAACUUCGGGAAACUGGGGCUAAUACCGGAUAGGAGCUCCUGCUGCAUGGUGGGGGUUGGAAAGUUUCGGCGGUUGGGGAUGGACUCGCGGCUUAUCAGCUUGUUGGUGGGGUAGUGGCUUACCAAGGCUUUGACGGGUAGCCGGCCUGAGAGGGUGACCGGCCACAUUGGGACUGAGAUACGGCCCAGACUCCUACGGGAGGCAGCAGUGGGGAAUAUUGCACAAUGGGCGGAAGCCUGAUGCAGCAACGCCGCGUGCGGGAUGACGGCCUUCGGGUUGUAAACCGCUUUCGCCUGCGACGAAGCGUGAGUGACGGUAAUGGGUAAAGAAGCACCGGCUAACUACGUG